Molecule: small nucleolar RNA, 87 nt
Filed under: Hanseniaspora valbyensis NRRL Y-1626
Lineage: Eukaryota; Fungi; Ascomycota; Saccharomycetes; Saccharomycodales; Saccharomycodaceae
Source: RNAcentral
AAGUAUGAUGAUAAAACAAAAAGACAAGCUGGAAUUACCUGCUGAGCAAUUGCAUUUGAAUGAUAAUCUUUUUAACUACUUCUGAUU